Long non-coding RNA from Quercus lobata, 623 nucleotides. RefSeq lists it as uncharacterized. NCBI's taxonomy places the organism in Eukaryota, Viridiplantae, Streptophyta, Magnoliopsida, Fagales, Fagaceae. The transcript is spliced from 3 exons. The record is from RefSeq and is a predicted model, not a curated record.
GCAGAGUGGUCUAGGAUUUCCCACAUUCCAAAUAUCUAUUUUAAUGAAUGUAUUAAACAAGAAGCUGUCUGAAGAUCAUGUACAUUAUUAAGAUGGAUGACCAUAAGUGGAAAGCCACCUAUUAUUCUUACAUGAGCUGUACAUUUGCAAGAAGCCGCAAUAUCUGCUUAUGGUGUAACUGGCUCAUUGCAAUAUCUACUUAUGGUUAAUGAUUGCGUGGGAGUCCUACAUUCAACUUUCUCCCGAACGAAAUUCAACUCUUCACUGCCCUUGAAUAGCCGUGGAUAAAGAAAUUUAACAGAAUGAAAGCUUUGCCUGAUUGGUUGGACAAUCUUUCUUCCCUUCAAAAGCUAGCUCUUCGCUACUGCAACAACCUGAUGUAUCUUCCCAUGUUCCACCUCACCAAAUCAAAACACCUGCACAUUGCUGAUUGCUCCAACUUAGAGAAACGAUGUGCAGAGGGGAGUGGCGAAGAGUGGUUUCAGAUUUCCCAUAUUCCAAACAUCAAAAUCAAUGGAAAAUACAUCUAAGGGAAGGAUUCUGAGGACUCUGAAGACUUUGACAUCUUUGACAACUCUGACUGAAGAAUUUGACGACUUCGACGACUAUGAUGAUGAUAGAGA